This 151-nucleotide ribosomal RNA is filed under the name Photobacterium kishitanii. RNAcentral describes it as "partial 16S ribosomal RNA". It matches the Rfam family "Bacterial small subunit ribosomal RNA", at positions 1 to 139 of the family's 1533-position model. The record is from RNAcentral. Lineage: Bacteria; Pseudomonadati; Pseudomonadota; Gammaproteobacteria; Vibrionales; Vibrionaceae.
ACUUUAAUUGAAGAGUUUGAUCAUGGCUCAGAUUGAACGCUGGCGGCAGGCCUAACACAUGCAAGUCGAGCGGUAACAGAAAGAAAGCUUGCUUUCUUUGCUGACGAGCGGCGGACGGGUGAGUAAUGCCUGGGAAUAUACCCUGAUGUGG